Eriocheir sinensis (Chinese mitten crab) is the source of this 1755-nucleotide long non-coding RNA. RefSeq lists it as uncharacterized. The record is from RefSeq and is a predicted model, not a curated record. The transcript is spliced from 8 exons. Lineage: Eukaryota; Metazoa; Arthropoda; Malacostraca; Decapoda; Varunidae.
CACACACACACACACACACACACACGGCUGAGAGAUUGAUUGACUGAUAACGAGAGAGAGAGAGAGAGAGAGAGAGAGAGAGAGAGAGAGAGAGAGAGAGAGAGAGAGAGAGAGAGAGGAGGUAAUUACAGGCCUUGGCAGAUUGCAUGAGCGUGAUAGGAAGAAAAAAAAGAAAAAAAAGAAAUUAAGAGAAAUAGUGGAGAGAAAAACAACAAGGAUGAAAAAAUAACGAAGAGAGGAGGAAGAAAAAAAUAGCAAAAAAAAAAGGAAAGAAAUACAACAUGAAAAAUAAGAGGAAAAAGAUAAUGAGGAAAAGGCUUACAAGGAAGAGACGAAAUAAGAGUUUACGAAAGAGAAGAAAAAAAAGAACAAUUAGAUUUAGCAAUUAAGUAAAACACGGAGAAGGAAAACAAGUGGAAAAAAGGAAGAAGGAAGAAAAAAACGAAGAAUACAGGAAAAAAGGAGAAGAAAUAAUAAUGGGGAAAAUAAAAGGAAAAACGGAAAAUGAAGGGUUAGAUUAGGUAAGACAUGAUCAGGCUUGGUCAGGUUAUGUUAGGUUAGGUUAGGUCAGGCAAGAUUGAUAGAUUAGAUAAGACUUGUUCAGGCUAGGAUAGGAUAGGUUAGGCAAGAUUGAUAGAGGGUUAGAUUAGGUAAGACUUGUUCAGGCUAGGAUAGGAUAGGUCAGGCAAGAUUGAUAGAGGGUUAGAUUAGGUAAGACUUGUUCAGGCUAGGUUAGGAUAGGUUAGGCAAGAUUGAUAGAGGAUUAGAUUAGGUAAGACUUGAUCAAGCUAGGUUAGAUUAGGUUAGGAUAGGUUAGGCAAGAUUGAUAGAGAAUUAGAUUAGGUAAAACUUGUUCGCUAGGUCAGGAUAGGUUAGGAUAGGUUAGGCAAGAUUGAUAGAGGGUUAGAUUAGGUAAGACUUGUUCAGGCUAGGUUAGGAUAGGUUAGGAUAGGUUAGGCAAGAUUGAUAGAGAGUUAGAUUCGGUAAAACUCGUUCGCUAGGUCAGGUUAGGUUAGGAUAGGUUAGGCAAGAUUGAUAGAGGGUUAGAUUAGGUAAGACUUGUUCAGGUUAGGUUAGGUUAGGUUAGGAUAGGUUAGGCAAGAUUGAUAGAGAAUUAGAUUAGGUAAAACUUGUUCGCUAGGUCAGGAUAGGUUAGGAUAGGUUAGGCAAGAUUGAUAGAGAAUUAGAUUAGGUAAAACUUGUUCGCUAGGUCAGGAUAGGUUAGCAUAGGUUAGGCAAGAUUGAUAGAGGGUUAGAUUAGGUAAGACUUGUUCAGGCUAGGCUAGGUUAGGAUAGGUUAGGCAAGAUUGAUAGGGAGUUAGAUUCGGUAAAACUCGCUCGCUAGGUCAGGUUAGGAUAAGUUAGGCAAGAUUGAUAGAUGAAUAGAUUCAGUAAAACUCGUUCGCUAGGUCAGGAUAGGCUAUACAAGAUUGAUAGUUAGAUUAGGUAAGACGCGUUCAGGCUAGGUUAGGUUAGGUUAGGUUAGGUCAGGAUAGGUUGUACAAGAUUGAUAGUUAGAUUAGGUAAGACGCGUUCAGGCUAGGUCAGGUUAGGCUUGCCCAGGUAAGGUCACAUGAAGUCAGCUGUGGUACCCAAGGUGAGGCAGCGUUUGAACAGGUGUGUGUAUUUAGAUAAGACUGUAAUACCUGUGAUUAAAGGUGUGAGAGUACGUGCCUAGUCUCGCGUCUGCAUGAGAGAGAGAGAGAGAGAGAGAGAGAGAGAAGGGGAAACAGACAAAAGAAAAGGUGAACGGCA